AAACUGAAGAGUUUGAUCCUGGCUCAGAUUGAACGCUGGCGGCAUGCCUAACACAUGCAAGUCGAACGGUAACGCGGAGAGCUUGCUCUCUGGCGACGAGUGGCGGACGGGUGAGUAAUGCGUAGGAAUCUGCCCUGCAGCGGGGGAUAGCCCGGGGAAACCCGGAUUAAUACCGCGUACGCUCUACGGAGGAAAGUGGGCCUCUUCUUGAAAGCUCACACUGCAGGAUGAGCCUACGUCCGAUUAGCUAGUUGGUAGGGUAAAAGCUUACCAAGGCGACGAUCGGUAGCUGGUCUGAGAGGAUGAUCAGCCACACUGGGACUGAGACACGGCCCAGACUCCUACGGGAGGCAGCAGUGGGGAAUAUUGGACAAUGGGCGCAAGCCUGAUCCAGCAAUGCCGCGUGUGUGAAGAAGGCCUGCGGGUUGUAAAGCACUUU
Molecule: ribosomal RNA, 439 nt
Filed under: Wenzhouxiangellaceae bacterium
Lineage: Bacteria; Pseudomonadati; Pseudomonadota; Gammaproteobacteria; Chromatiales; Wenzhouxiangellaceae
Description: bacterial SSU rRNA
Rfam family: Bacterial small subunit ribosomal RNA
Source: RNAcentral